Molecule: ribosomal RNA, 1381 nt
Filed under: Staphylococcus aureus M0339
Lineage: Bacteria; Bacillati; Bacillota; Bacilli; Caryophanales; Staphylococcaceae
Also listed under: 2 other names
Description: bacterial SSU rRNA
Rfam family: Bacterial small subunit ribosomal RNA
Source: RNAcentral
AGAGUUUGAUCCUGGCUCAGGAUGAACGCUGGCGGCGUGCCUAAUACAUGCAAGUCGAGCGAACGGACGAGAAGCUUGCUUCUCUGAUGUUAGCGGCGGACGGGUGAGUAACACGUGGAUAACCUACCUAUAAGACUGGGAUAACUUCGGGAAACCGGAGCUAAUACCGGAUAAUAUUUUGAACCGCAUGGUUCAAAAGUGAAAGACGGUCUUGCUGUCACUUAUAGAUGGAUCCGCGCUGCAUUAGCUAGUUGGUAAGGUAACGGCUUACCAAGGCAACGAUGCAUAGCCGACCUGAGAGGGUGAUCGGCCACACUGGAACUGAGACACGGUCCAGACUCCUACGGGAGGCAGCAGUAGGGAAUCUUCCGCAAUGGGCGAAAGCCUGACGGAGCAACGCCGCGUGAGUGAUGAAGGUCUUCGGAUCGUAAAACUCUGUUAUUAGGGAAGAACAUAUGUGUAAGUAACUGUGCACAUCUUGACGGUACCUAAUCAGAAAGCCACGGCUAACUACGUGCCAGCAGCCGCGGUAAUACGUAGGUGGCAAGCGUUAUCCGGAAUUAUUGGGCGUAAAGCGCGCGUAGGCGGUUUUUUAAGUCUGAUGUGAAAGCCCACGGCUCAACCGUGGAGGGUCAUUGGAAACUGGAAAACUUGAGUGCAGAAGAGGAAAGUGGAAUUCCAUGUGUAGCGGUGAAAUGCGCAGAGAUAUGGAGGAACACCAGUGGCGAAGGCGACUUUCUGGUCUGUAACUGACGCUGAUGUGCGAAAGCGUGGGGAUCAAACAGGAUUAGAUACCCUGGUAGUCCACGCCGUAAACGAUGAGUGCUAAGUGUUAGGGGGUUUCCGCCCCUUAGUGCUGCAGCUAACGCAUUAAGCACUCCGCCUGGGGAGUACGACCGCAAGGUUGAAACUCAAAGGAAUUGACGGGGACCCGCACAAGCGGUGGAGCAUGUGGUUUAAUUCGAAGCAACGCGAAGAACCUUACCAAAUCUUGACAUCCUUUGACAACUCUAGAGAUAGAGCCUUCCCCUUCGGGGGACAAAGUGACAGGUGGUGCAUGGUUGUCGUCAGCUCGUGUCGUGAGAUGUUGGGUUAAGUCCCGCAACGAGCGCAACCCUUAAGCUUAGUUGCCAUCAUUAAGUUGGGCACUCUAAGUUGACUGCCGGUGACAAACCGGAGGAAGGUGGGGAUGACGUCAAAUCAUCAUGCCCCUUAUGAUUUGGGCUACACACGUGCUACAAUGGACAAUACAAAGGGCAGCGAAACCGCGAGGUCAAGCAAAUCCCAUAAAGUUGUUCUCAGUUCGGAUUGUAGUCUGCAACUCGACUACAUGAAGCUGGAAUCGCUAGUAAUCGUAGAUCAGCAUGCUACGGUGAAUACG